AAUGGACGAAAGUCUGAUGCAGCAACGCCGCGUGGAGGAUGACACAUUUCGGUGCGUAAACUCCUUUUAUAGGUCAAGAUAAUGACGGUAGCCUAUGAAUAAGCGCCGGCUAACUCCGUGCCAGCAGCCGCGGUAAUACGGAGGGCGCAAGCGUUACUCGGAAUCACUGGGCGUAAAGAGCGUGUAGGCGGAUUAAUAAGUCAGAAGUGAAAUCCAAUAGCUUAACUAUUGAACUGCUUUUGAAACUGUUGAUCUAGAGUGUGGGAGAGGUAGAUGGAAUUUCUGGUGUAGGGGUAAAAUCCGUAGAUAUCAGAAGGAAUACCGAUUGCGAAGGCGAUCUACUGGAACAUAACUGACGCUGAGACGCGAAAGCGUGGGGAGCAAA
RNAcentral lists this ribosomal RNA (385 nucleotides) under uncultured bacterium. RNAcentral's name for it is "bacterial SSU rRNA". It matches the Rfam family "Bacterial small subunit ribosomal RNA", at positions 370 to 772 of the family's 1533-position model. The record is from RNAcentral.